This is a long non-coding RNA of Leptidea sinapis, 4542 nucleotides long. RefSeq lists it as uncharacterized. The transcript has 2 exons. Lineage: Eukaryota; Metazoa; Arthropoda; Insecta; Lepidoptera; Pieridae. The record is from RefSeq and is a predicted model, not a curated record.
AGUUGAACUAAUAAGGACAACAGAAAACCAAAUUUACCUCAGGUAAAUUCGUGUGGACAAAACGUGGCGGUAAACAUCCUCUCCUGCUCGUCAACGGGUACACUUACAGUUAUCAGAAGCGAAACGUUGAUGGAAGGGUGUCCUGGUACUGCUCUCGGAGACUCAAGGGCUGCAGGGCGUCUGCGACCAGCUUAUCAGGCCGUGUCCUGACCUGUAAGCCUCACGAUCACGCACCGCCGCAUUUAGUCAAUUAUAUUGAAAAAACUGUCGAUACCAACCAUCUGUUUGAGGGCUUCGAGUAUCUUAUGUAAUUAUUUGUGAUGUCUGUUUUUUGGUCGAAAAUGGACAUUGGCAAGUUAUUAAACAAUUUGAUAUCAUUUGGAUUGAUUUUAAAUUUAGUAAUUUUAUUUUUAUUUUCUUGAACUCUUAAUCAUGUUCAUAAAAUAUAUAUUUUCAUGAUGAAUUAUUGGAUUUAAUCUUUGUUAAUGUCUACUGUGACAAUAGUACAAGUAUAUACAAAUAUAACCCUCACGGCAACGCCUCACUUUCUUUUAAAUAUACCGCUAUAAAGAAUUAAUUGUAUUUAUGAAAACCUGAACAUCAUUUGGAAUAUUUGUACAUUUAUUGUUUUGUGUUUUAACAAGACUUGUUGGCGCGGAUCUUUAUUGAAAUUGUUAACGGAACAACAAACGAUUAGAAGUUUGCAAAAAGUAGACUUUUUAUACACGGGUAACACUGAAAAUGUUUAGGAAAUGAAAAACGGCUUAAUGUAGAAAGUUGCCGAAAGCUUUAUUGAUUUUCGAAGUAAUCUCUGAGAAAAGCAGUGAGCCCAUCCUUUGUUAGGGGUUUCUUCUUUGGCAUUUUCGUACGCUUUCACCGCAUCUUCAGGGCUGGUAAAGCGAAUACCUCAAAUUUUAUCUUUAGUUCUUGGGAAUAAAUAAAAGUCGCAGGGUGCCAGUUCAGAACUGUAUGGCGGAUAACUCAUUAUCUCGACACCUGCCAUAGUCAAGUAUUCAACAGUCCGUUUUGUGGAGUGCGUUGAAGCAUUGUCGUGGUGAAGGAGGAUCCUGCUUCGAGGGCGCUGCUGUCGAAUUUUUUCAAGACAACAGGCAAACAGCGAUUGACAUACCAGACUGCAGUAACUGUCCUUCCAUCUUCUAGCACAACUGUCGCGAAAUGACCUUUUCGACCAAAGAAUGAGGCGAUCAUCUCUUUUCCUUGACUUCUUCCUUUCUUUACCUGAGUUGGCCGAUCCUCAAAAGGAAAAAGUUUUUUUGAACUUGGCUCACCAAUGCCUAGGCUUGCCCGUAUCUACUGAUACGUCACUCUCUUAUCUUCCUCUAUCAUGCGUCGCACAGCACUGAUGUUAUCUUCAGUAGUCGCUGUUAAAGGACGUCCCUCACGCGGAUCAUCAGAGAGAUUGCUACGUCCACGCUUAAACUCGAUAAAUCAAUUGUAAAUAGUGGCACGAGAUCGGGCUUCAAUAAGAAAUCCUAUUUGCAGCCUAUAAUAGCUUUGUUGUUGAGUAAGCCCACAAAAAAGUCAUAAUAAAUCAUUGACCGAAAAUUUUCUUGCGUUAGGUUCAUUUUCACGUGUAACAAGAGUUUUAGACUUGCCGCCAAUUCACAAAAAUAAAUGACAAAUUAAUGCAUUAUACUACAUUAGGUUACCAAAGAGUUCUAAAAUUGAAAUAAAAAAAAAGUUUUCAUAAGCAAUGUUUCUAACUAGCCAGUUCUGGCUAGUUAGAAACACUCUAUUCUAACAUUUUCAGUGUUACCCACGUAUUACAGCUAGCAAAUGUGAAAUGAAACUCACUGCCCAUAUAUAUGAACUGAUCAGAACUGAGCAUCUUGAACAUGCAUUGUCAUCCUUUGAAGUGAGGUUACCCUCUGAAUUUGAAUACAUUUGUUAUUGAAAGCAACAAAUCAAGUAAAACAAAUGAAUAGUACUAAGGACCUAAUAGUGGAAUAGUAAAUGUAGUGUCCAUUUAAAUAAACCACUAUUACGAAUAUUAAGCCUCAGUAUAACAAACAAAUGUCCAUUUUCUAUUAAACAUAAAUCAGACUGUCUAUUUUAAUCACAGAACCUGAAUACUAUACAUUUAAAUAAAGUGUUUAAGUAGUUGUUAAGGUAAAAUCAAAAUUAAGUUAGGAUAAUUAAACUUAUAAUAUUAAGCGACAUGACAACAGAAAAUUCUUGCCACACUAUGUGUAAUAUUUUCAUUCGUAUGGGGUCAUUAAUAGUUAUGAAAGUUGACUUAAUUCGGCCUAGUAAAGUUCCUUCGCAUUAAUAAUAUUAAAUGAAUGUGACGUCAGUUUGAUUAACGCUAGGUGUUGUUUUUAUUUCGGCUUCUUUGAAUGCUAAUUUAAGUAGAUAAAAUGCAACUGACGUUUCUAUGUUAAACUGUUAGGCGAUACGCGUGUGAUAGUUUGCUCGAUGGCUUUAGCCAAUUCGUAAUGAAAUCAUUUAUAGUUCUAUAAUAAUUUGAAGUGUAUUACCAAUGAUAUUAUAGUAUUAAAAGAGGUAGAUAUGUCACUAGCGCGCUGAAAAUCAAUCGCCUAAAUUGACUCAAUUGGUUCCUUUUGUCGUAGUCGCUCUCUCGAUACGAAAACGGUACGGUACACACGCGUUUGUUGUUGACAGAAUUGCUUACAAUUUGAUAUAGCUACAACAUUAAAAUACCGUCUUGUGUUAUGGGAAGAUGCACUAAUUACGAAAGUAAAAAAAAAAAUAAUAGAAUUACAUACCUCAGUUAAGAAAUCAUGAAUUAUAACAUUUUAUUUGAUUUCAUUAUUUAUCUAACAAAAUAAAUAUGUUGCCAUGACAACGCCGAUCGCCGCCAAACCGAUCAUAGAUUAACGUACAGAAAUGACAAAAUAUUGAUGCUGUCUGUUGCGGGAUGAUCGAGGUAGAAUAUUUUAGGAAAUGAUGUAAAAAAGUCAUUGUUCCAGUGAAUGUAAUAAUUUUUAAUAAACAAGUGCAUAGGUAUAUAGGUAGCUGAACUAUCAAACUACUAAAAAAGUUUUAGGGUAGGUAGCGGAUGUAGACAGUGAGUGCUAUUUGUUUACGUAGGAGUUUCUUCAGUAUAUCCCUAGCUAACUGCAGAAGAAUCAAUGGAUCAUUUUCUUCUUCUCCCAUUACCUUAUUGUAAUAAACCCUCAACAAAAAGACUCAUAAAUAAUAUAAGAUACAAAAAAUAAUAAUUGUAAUCUUAAAAAUUUUUUGGGAGCCGUUGUUAGUAAAAUGGGACCCUUACUGUAGAUACCUUUCGGUUUUGUUUUGGUUUCUGUAUGUUUUUUAUUAUUUAUUAUUUAAAUAAUUAAUAUCAUCAAUGUGGCUAUAUAUUAUAAUCAAUAUUAAAUUAUUUUUUUAUAAAAUCAAUGACACAUUAUCUACCUAAUAUCAAUGCAGUUUUACAACUUUAUAGCUUUUACUACAUGAACUCAUGAAUGAAUUGUAAUUUAGGCAUAAAUCACGGUAUACUGUAAAAAAUCAUAUCUGAUGAAUUAACUGUAUUUUCUCUAUACAAAUACGAAGCAAUUAGCAAAUUAGAGUUAUUUCUUUUUCGCUUGCGAUAAUUGCAUUUACUAUCCUUCUUUGACGUUUAAUUGUAAUGUAGUGUGCUAUUGCAAUGUUUAAUUAUUCAUGUGUGCGUUAGGGUAUCAUUUUCAAACACCGAAUGUUGUCUACGUAACCUAUCUAUACUUUUAAAUAUCAUUGUGUAUUACUAUCAAGUACUGUCAAUUGAUAGUUUGUUGGCUUGUAUGAAAUGAACAUUCACGACUCGUGGUCACACCAGUUUGUCACACCAGUGUGACUACGAGUAAUUUUUAUUCCUCGUGGUCACACCAAGGGUUUUACUACACCCUGUUGGUAAUUCAUAUAAGUGAUGUGUCAAUUUCAAUUCUCAUGAUAUCGACAUUCUCGAUAGUUUAGAUAAGGAAUGACUAAAGAUGGAAAUUGUUUUUUCCUCUUCCUCACACCGCAGGUUUAACUACACUACCAUAUGUCGAAAUAGGCAAAGAUGUAUAACUUUUGUAUAUAAGUAUAUAAUUAACGAAGUAUUUUCAUAAAAUGGCCUAAAAAAAUAUUAUUAUUAAUAAGUUUUAUUUGGGUAUUAAUGAACAAAUUAUCUUUCUCAAUUUGUCUCUUUAUCCCUCACAAGGGAUAUUAUGUGGACUAAAUUAAUAAUAAAUAAGUUAAUAAAUUAUUAACUGUCUUAAAAGAGGAUAUGGAAAUUGUCAUUGAAAAAAGCCCAACAAAUUGACACAUCACUUAUAUCAAUUGCCAACAGGGUGUAGUAAAACCCUUGGUGUGACCACGAGGAAUAAAAAUUACUCGUAGUCACACUGGUGUGACAAACUGUUGUGACCAUGAGUCGUGAAUGGAAAUGAACUAAUUGCAUGUGAAUACUACUUCAAUUUAAAAUUCUGAUUGUAAAUCAUUUGCCGAUACUUGUGAUAUUUAUACAUAUACUAUGUACUCUCCUUAAUUUCAUUUGCAUAUUUAGUACUGAGCUUAAAAUAUAUAAUUUGUGCUAUA